AGAGUUUGAUCCUGGCUCAGGAUGAACGCUAGCGGCAGGCCUAAUACAUGCAAGUCGAACGGUAAGGCUCUAACUUGUUAGAGCACACGAGUGGCGCACGGGUGCGUAACGCGUAUGCAACCUACCUUUUACUGGGGGAUAGCCCGGGGAAACCCGGAUUAAUACCCCAUGAUAUUUUUGAGAGGCAUCUCUCAAUUCCUAAAACUCCGACGGUUAAAGAUGGGCAUAUGUGACAUUAGUUUGUUGGUGAGGUAAUGGCUCACCAAGACUACGAUGUCUAGGGGAUCUGAGAGGAUUGUCCCCCACACUGGUACUGAGACACGGACCAGACUCCUACGGGAGGCAGCAGUAAGGAAUAUUGGUCAAUGGACGAAAGUCUGAACCAGCCAUGCCGCGUGCAGGAUGACGGCCCUACGGGUUGUAAACUGCUUUUAUACGAGAAAAAACCUCCUUACGUGUAAGGAGCUGAUGGUAUCGUAAGAAUAAGGAUCGGCUAACUCCGUGCCAGCAGCCGCGGUAAUACGGAGGAUCCAAGCGUUAUCCGGAUUUAUUGGGUUUAAAGGGUGCGUAGGCGGAAUAUUAAGUCAGUGGUGAAAGCCUGCAGCUCAACUGUAGAAUUGCCAUUGAUACUAUUGUUCUUGAGUAAAGUUGAAGUGGGCGGAAUGUGUCAUGUAGCGGUGAAAUGCAUAGAGAUGACACAGAACACCGAUAGCGAAGGCAGCUCACUAAGCUUUAACUGACGCUGAGGCACGAAAGCGUGGGGAGCGAACAGGAUUAGAUACCCUGGUAGUCCACGCCGUAAACGAUGAUUACUCGAUGUGUGCGACAUAAUGUACGCGUCCAAGCGAAAGCGUUAAGUAAUCCACCUGGGGAGUACGUUCGCAAGAAUGAAACUCAAAGGAAUUGACGGGGGCCCGCACAAGCGGUGGAGCAUGUGGUUUAAUUCGAUGAUACGCGAGGAACCUUACCUGGGCUUAAAUGCAUUGUGACAGGCUGGGAAACCAGUCCUUCUUCGGACACAUUGCAAGGUGCUGCAUGGUUGUCGUCAGCUCGUGCCGUGAGGUGUCGGGUUAAGUCCCAUAACGAGCGCAACCCCUAUCUCUAGUUGCCAGCACAUAAUGGUGGGGACUCUAGAGAAACUGCCCGCGCAAGCGGUGAGGAAGGUGGGGAUGACGUCAAGUCAGCACGGCCCUUACGUCCAGGGCUACACACGUGUUACAAUGGCCGGUACAGAGGGCAGCUACCUAGUGAUAGGAUGCAAAUCUCUAAAGCCGGUCUCAGUUCGGAUCGAAGUCUGCAACUCGACUUCGUGAAGUUGGAAUCGCUAGUAAUCGCGCAUCAGCCAUGGCGCGGUGAAUACGUUCCCGGGCCUUGUACACACCGCCCGUCAAGCCAUGGAAGCUGGGGGUACCUGAAGUCCGUCACCGAAAGGAGCGGCCUAGGGUAAAACCGAUAACUAGGGCUAAGUCGUAACAAGGUAGCC
Molecule: ribosomal RNA, 1483 nt
Filed under: uncultured prokaryote
Description: partial 16S ribosomal RNA
Rfam family: Bacterial small subunit ribosomal RNA
Source: RNAcentral